This 93-nucleotide transfer RNA is filed under the name Streptomyces tardus. Its description in RNAcentral is "tRNA-OTHER". It matches the Rfam family "tRNA". From Rfam's summary of the family: Transfer RNA (tRNA) molecules are approximately 80 nucleotides in length. Their secondary structure includes four short double-helical elements and three loops (D, anti-codon, and T loops). The record is from RNAcentral. Lineage: Bacteria; Bacillati; Actinomycetota; Actinomycetes; Kitasatosporales; Streptomycetaceae.
GGAGAGGUACCCGAAGCGGCCCAACGGGGUCCGGGUGCUUUGCACUUGGCCGGGUCUUCAUGGCCCUCGCAGGUUCGAAUCCUGCCCUCUCCG